GGACGAACGCUGGCGGCGUGCCUAAUACAUGCAAGUAGAACGCACAGUUUAUACCGUAGCUUGCUACACCAUAGACUGUGAGUUGCGAACGGGUGAGUAACGCGUAGGUAACCUGCCUGGUAGCGGGGGAUAACUAUUGGAAACGAUAGCUAAUACCGCAUAAUAUUGAUUAUUGCAUGAUAAUUGAUUGAAAGAUGCUAUUGCAUCACUACCAGAUGGACCUGCGUUGUAUUAGCUAGUAGGUGAGGUAACGGCUCACCUAGGCGACGAUACAUAGCCGACCUGAGAGGGUGAUCGGCCACACUGGGACUGAGACACGGCCCAGACUCCUACGGGAGGCAGCAGUAGGGAAUCCUCGGCAAUGGACGAAAGUCUGACCGAGCAACGCCGCGUGAGUGAAGAAGGGUUUCGGAUCGUAAAGCUCUGUUGUAAGAGAAGAACGGGUGUGAGAGUGGAAAGUUCACACUGUGACGGUAUCUUACCAGAAAGGGACGGCUAACUACGUG
Molecule: ribosomal RNA, 506 nt
Filed under: uncultured bacterium
Lineage: Bacteria
Description: partial 16S ribosomal RNA
Rfam family: Bacterial small subunit ribosomal RNA
Source: RNAcentral